GUUGCCUAGAAAAAAUAGAGAUAGAGACAUGUAAUACACAGGGGCAUCAUUGUUUAUUAUCAACUUUUGAAGGACAUUGGAAACUGUAGGUAGCAUCCCUCUCACAUACCUCACAUAACACUGUAGAGUUCAAGAAAGCUAAGACAUGUCUAGCAAUGGGGUGAGUACUUUUGCUUAAAAUUCUCCCAUGUUAGUGGGAUGCCUUGGUUCCUGCUCGGAAGGGGGGCCGGGUGAGGAAAAAGCACCCCGCAGGACACGGUUCCCGCUUGGAAGGGGGGGUGGGGGACGGACAGAGCACAAAGCAGGGCAGGUUUCACGCUUGGAAGGGGGGAUCGGUGAGGAAGAAGCACCCCGCAGGACACGGUUCCCGCUUGGAAGGGGGGGUGGGGGACGGACAGAGCACACCGCAGGGCAGGUUUCACGCUUGGAAGGGGGGAUCGGUGAGGAAGAAGCACCCCGCAGGACACGGUUCCCGCUUGGAAGGGGGGGUGGGGGACGGACAGAGCACACCGCAGGGCAGGUUUCACGCUUGGAAGGGGGGAUCGGUGAGGAAGACGCACCCCGCAGGACACGGUUCCCGCUUGGACGGGGGGGUGGGGGACGGACAGAGCACACCGCAGGGCAGGUUUCACGCUUGGAAGGGGGGAUCGGUGAGGAAGAAGCACCCCGCAGGACACGGUUCCCGCUUGGAAGGGGGGGUGGGGGACGGACAGAGCACACCGCAGGACACGGUUCCCGCUUGGAAGGGGGGGUGGGGGACGGACAGAGCACACCGCAGGGCAGGUUUCCCGCUUGGAAGGGGGGGUGGGGGACGGACAGAGCACACCGCAGGGCAGGUUUCACGCUUGGAAGGGGGGAUCGGUGAGGAAGAAGCACCCCGCAGGACACGGUUCCCGCUUGGAAGGGGGGGUGGGGGACGGACAGAGCACACCGCAGGGCAGGUUUCACGCUUGGAAGGGGGGAUCGGUGAGGAAGAAGCACCCCGCCUGGAUGCCUACGUGCUGGGAAGGG
Molecule: long non-coding RNA, 1011 nt
Organism: Gopherus flavomarginatus (Mexican gopher tortoise)
Lineage: Eukaryota; Metazoa; Chordata; Testudines; Testudinidae
Exons: 5
Source: RefSeq, a predicted model, not a curated record